This 422-nucleotide ribosomal RNA is filed under the name Pogonoperca punctata. Its description in RNAcentral is "partial 12S ribosomal RNA". It matches the Rfam family "Bacterial small subunit ribosomal RNA", at positions 776 to 1399 of the family's 1533-position model. The record is from RNAcentral. Lineage: Eukaryota; Metazoa; Chordata; Actinopteri; Perciformes; Serranidae.
GAUUAGAUACCCCACUAUGCUUUGCCCUAAACAUUGAUAGUACACUACACCCACUAUCCGCCCGGGAACUACGAGCACCAGCUUAAAACCCAAAGGACUUGGCGGUGCUUUAGAUCCACCUAGAGGAGCCUGUUCUAGAACCGAUAACCCCCGUUCAACCUCACCUUUCCUUGUUUUUUCCGCCUAUAUACCGCCGCCGUCAGCCUACCCUGUGAAGGCCCAGCAGUGAGCAAAAUCAGUACAACUCAAAACGUCAGGUCGAGGUGUAGCGCAUGGAAAGGGAAGAAAUGGGCUACAUUCCCUCAGCAUCAGGGAACACGAAAAAUGUGCUGAAACGUACAUUCAAAGGAGGAUUUAGCAGUAAGAAGAAAAUAGAGUGUUCUCCUGAAACAGGCUCUGAAGCGCGCACACACCGCCCGUCA